UUCCUCUGUAUUCAAAAGAGAGUCAUAUUCUACACAAUCAGCUCUUUCAUUUUUUCAGCUUAUUUUAUAAGUGGGCAUCAAAUGUUUCAAAGGUUCAUCAAAGAUAAUAGAAUUAUAAUAGCAUCAGGUAUUUAAUAAAAUAGUCUUUUGAAAAACACUUUAUUUAAGUUCAUAAGAAAAAUACUGACAGAAUGCUUUUAUCAUCAGAGGGUAAGUUUGGCACUAUAGAUCCAGUGACCUUCAAGAGCAGUUUUUCUGAGGAAGAACAUGAUUCUUCAUAUGGUAUUUCUACUAUUAAAAAAAAUCACUGGAAUUGAAACCUUGAUUUUUUUUUUCUACUCUUGUAUAUUGCUAGUGUCUCACACAGUUUAAGACAGUUGUGUGCCAGAAAAUGACAUAGAUAUUGCCAGUGGCCCUUAUAUGUAAUCCAUGAGGAAUUAUCUUGGAGAUGUAAUCUCUUAAAAUACAGAACAAACUGAGACUUACAGAGAUGACAGAUAAAUACUGCUAUAUAAAUGUAAAACCAAAGAUUCCAUACAUUCUACACACUAAAUGUGUAGGAGGGGUCAAACAAUCCAGAAAAAAGAAAAUGCAGAGUAGAAGGUGAUUCUGAGUAACACACACACACACACACACACACACACACACACAAACACACACACUGAAAACUAUUGAGAAGCAUGAACAGCAACAAAUUCUCAAGAGUGACACAACUAGAGGCCUUAAUACAGGUGCUGUGGUGUGACAUCUGGUCUCUUCAACCUAGUAGUCUGUAAUCUACAUUCCCCAGAGUCCUGUACCCUCCUGCAUUUAAAGUCUGCCAUAUACGACUUCGAAGAAAAUUUUCCCAAUGUAAAGAAGACACUGAAUGAUGAGAGACUCUCAAAAGUACAACAAAUAAAUAAAUGAAUAAUAGCUUCCAAGCGUUGUCUCUAUGUCAGUAUUGAGUAGUGGGCAACUUCUAACUAAUCAGAACCUCUUUAAACACACCAAUGCAAUCAGUUUCCACACAUGGUGAAGGCUAUGUUCUGGGAAACCAUGGUGACAAGGACUUCAAGUGUCACCUCACAUCCACAGCCAGGAACCGAGAGAACAAGAUGCAUGCGUAUAACCUUCGUCCAGCAACGCAUGGAAAUAGAAACAAAGACCCACAUUGGAGCACUGGACUGAGCUCCCAAGGUCCAGUUGAAGAGCAAAAGAAGGGAGAAUAUGAGCAAGGAAGUCAGGACCACGAGAGGUUGGCCACCCACUGAGACAGUGUGCCUGUUCUAAUGGGAGUUCACCAAAUCCAGCUGGACUGGGACUGAAAGACGUCUUGUAUUGUUCUGUUUCUUUUGAGGCCCAAAUAAGAAAUUGAGAAUUGAGCAAAUUAAUGGAAAAAAAAUUAAGCAAGUCAUGAAGUCUGUGGCAAAAAGACCAUUUAAAAUACACUUACAACUGUCCCACAAAUGGGCCUAACACUAUGAAAGAAAUUCAAAAAGAAGUUGCAAUGAGUUAAGUAGAAUGAGGAGGCUGUCCUAAGGAAGAUGACACUGAGGUGUCAUGAAGUGAUGCAUGAGAUUUAGAAAAGGACUCUUACUUAGAAGAUGUAUCAAGUUGGUAUUACCAACAAGAACAACUUGUUCCCCUUCCACUAAUGGCUAAACAAAACUUUAGCAAUGCAUAUUAUAAGUCUACAGUAUGAAGAAGUGGCAAUGUUUGUAGGGAAAUAUCUCUGUCUCUAUUUUGUUCUUAUUGAAGAUUAAGAAAGUUGUGGUUUAUAUGAAUUCAGAAAGAAUUUUUGUUGAUUUUUACUGAGCUCUAUAUUUUUCUCUGUUCCCUUCCCUGCCUCUCUCCUCCCCUUCAACCCUCUAAAAGAUUUCCCCAAUAUUUUCUUUGGCAGAACAGAACAGCCCUAGACAAAGGGUGAGAUCUACGUCUCCAUUGGUACAGAUGGUCCUAAUUAACUAAAUUAUGUCUUUAACUAGGCAAAUGAACUAGAGGGAACUUGAAAACUUUGUAUUGAAGUUUUUAGUGUAACUUCAUAAUGUUGACAACAGGCUGUAUUGCAGUAGUUUUCUGCCUUGAACAUUCUUUUUCAUUAAAUCAACUGUCAUCUCUUAUCAAGUCUGUAAAUUGGCCAACAUGCCCUGAAAUAGCAAUCUGAAUUAUCACCAGAAAAGGAGGAACCUCUUUGUAACCCCAUCAUUAAUUCAAUGAUAGUUUCUUGUAACUUUGUCUAUACUCAUUGGUACUUUAAUAUCACAGGGAGAUUUAAUUUCUAUUUGACAGGUUCAAGUAGAUACAUAGUCUUCUAUUAAAUAAAGUCUCACUGCAAUGGGUCAUAUAUCCUGA
This is a long non-coding RNA of Alexandromys fortis (reed vole), 2334 nucleotides long. RefSeq lists it as uncharacterized. The transcript has 6 exons. NCBI's taxonomy places the organism in Eukaryota, Metazoa, Chordata, Mammalia, Rodentia, Cricetidae. The record is from RefSeq and is a predicted model, not a curated record.